This 269-nucleotide long non-coding RNA is filed under the name Mytilus galloprovincialis (Mediterranean mussel). Lineage: Eukaryota; Metazoa; Mollusca; Bivalvia; Mytilida; Mytilidae. The record is from RNAcentral.
GUUUGGUUUUGGUUUUGUAUUGAUUCUAGUACAAAUCUAUCACGUAUGACAUCUUUAUGGGCUACCUCAAGUACUAAGUCAACGAAAUGUUCUCCACAGAACAAUAGAAAAAUAUCAUAUAUCUUUUCAUGAAGUAUUCUGAAUGUUUUUUCAGUGUUUUUCACAUAACUCAACAUUAGCUUAUCCAGUUCAGACUUGACAACUUGAAUCGAAAAAUGCGCUUGCAUAUGGAAAUAAUCGGAUAUGUCUUCAAGAACCUGUUUAAUACC